UGGCGUCUACUGGCGGCGGCGCCUUACCUCCCACUCGACUGGUCCAACCUCCAUGGAGGGCUUGGCGGUCGCCCUCAAUACCAUGACAAUCGAGCUGCUCGCUCUUCUUUUCUUUCAGAUCAAAGAUCAAAGAUGCCUUAACCCAAAGGCGCAGGUUCCUGCAGGUUAAGAUGGCAAGCCUGAAUAAAUACUCUGUCUGUACAGAGAAUGACACUGUGCUAACGCCAUCCAUCUUCGAUAUUUCUGUGGCAGUCAAAGAAGAUAUGUGUCAACGCAAAUGUUCUUUCGGUGAAAAUACAAGAAGAUUGGUGUCGAUCUUAACUGCGGUAGAAAUAAAACAUCUCCAUGGUGAUGCUUAUAAGUGCCUUAGAUGUUCGUAUAUAUUGGAUCAGCCUAAGGUAAUCUUUAUAAAUUAUUUUUCGACAUGAAUUUAACCAAUUGGUAUUUGUGUCUUUAAUGGAAGGUUCAUGGUACUUGCUUUAGGCUUAGGUUUGUUCUUUUUGGAGUAACAACUGCUAAAACUACAAUAGUUAGAUGGUCUAUGGACAUGAAAAUGGUAGCUAAGUUUUCAUUCCCCCUCCUCGCCAAUUAUAGCAGUAUAAAUGUGAAUGGACGGAGUUCAGCUAGAAUCUUAGCAGAUGAUAACUUCUUUUCCUCACAUUCAGCCGAUGCAUACAUAUGGAUAUGCCUUUGUAUAUGGGACCAGCCUAAGAAAUGUCAAAGUGCUCUCAACUUUUAGUUUAGAUACUUCCACUGGUGUACUAUGUUCGCUUCCAGCAUAUAGGCAACUUUCUAUGUUUUUGAUGGCAAGGUUUUAUCUAGAUGCACGUGUAUUCCCUAUACAAUUUUCUGUUGAUCAAAUCAAGCUAGCACCUAGCUUUCAUGUAUCCUGCAGUUUAUUAUAUACCGUCUUAAGUCUAAG
Molecule: long non-coding RNA, 922 nt
Organism: Lolium rigidum
Lineage: Eukaryota; Viridiplantae; Streptophyta; Magnoliopsida; Poales; Poaceae
Exons: 3
Source: RefSeq, a predicted model, not a curated record